Molecule: ribosomal RNA, 256 nt
Filed under: uncultured bacterium
Lineage: Bacteria
Description: partial 16S ribosomal RNA
Rfam family: Bacterial small subunit ribosomal RNA
Source: RNAcentral
GACGUAGGUGGCGAACGUUAUCCGGAAUUAUUGGGCGUAAAGGGUGCGUAGAUGGCCUGAUAAGUUAGCAGUGGGAAAUCGAGGCUCAACCUCGUGGAAGCUGGUAAUACUGUCAGGCUCGAGUGCAGGAGAGGUUAACGGAACUCCAUGUGGAGCGGUAAAAUGUGUAGAUAUAUGGAAGAACAUCAAUAACGGCGAAGGCAGUUAACUAUUCUGUUACUGACGUUGAGGCACGAAAGCGUGGGGAGCAAAACGG